UUAACUGUUUGUACUAGAGGUGUGAAUCUUCACUGAUCUCCCGAUUCGAUUACGAUUAUCCUGUCAACGAUUCACCGAUAUCUUGUUGCAUUGUGAUGCAUCACGAUGCGUCAAAUACAUAUUGUUAUUAAAGCCAUAUAGGAUAUUUAACUAAUUGCUUUUCAGACUUCAAAAACAUUGUGCAGUGCUCUAAUAGUAAAUAAA
Etheostoma spectabile (orangethroat darter) is the source of this 204-nucleotide long non-coding RNA. RefSeq lists it as uncharacterized. The record is from RefSeq and is a predicted model, not a curated record. NCBI's taxonomy places the organism in Eukaryota, Metazoa, Chordata, Actinopteri, Perciformes, Percidae. The transcript is spliced from 3 exons.